This 428-nucleotide unclassified non-coding RNA is filed under the name fungal sp. Its description in RNAcentral is "partial internal transcribed spacer region". The stretch from base 1 to 46 matches the Rfam family "Eukaryotic small subunit ribosomal RNA", at positions 1786 to 1831 of the family's 1831-position model. The record is from RNAcentral. Lineage: Eukaryota; Fungi.
AAGUCGUAACAAGGUUUCCGUAGGUGAACCUGCGGAAGGAUCAUUAACACAUCCUAUUUCCUAUUUCAUACCUUGAGAACAAGUACGAUACCGCGAGAUGGUUGGACGAUCAGCACUGUGGUUUUUGGGCUCUUUCUUCUCUCUUCGGGGAGAGUUGGAGUUGGUGCUACCGACCUGCUGCCGGGGCGCAACCGGGCUCUCUCUCUCUCUCUGGGAGAGUGCUGCUCGGAAGCGCGCAUAGCCGGCCACAAGCCUAUCGACGGUAAUUCAGCUUCUACCAUGGCUGGCCCUUUUUUUUUCUUUCAAUAAACCUGCAGCUUCUUACUGAUUUUCGGCUUUGGAUCGAGAGGAGCAAUCCUUUCUCUGAGGUCUUCGGAUUCGUCAAACAAUCCAAAACACAACUCUUAACAGCGGAUAUCUCGGUUCUC